This 159-nucleotide ribosomal RNA is filed under the name Enterobius vermicularis (human pinworm). Its description in RNAcentral is "5.8S ribosomal RNA". It matches the Rfam family "5.8S ribosomal RNA". From Rfam's summary of the family: 5.8S ribosomal RNA (5.8S rRNA) is a component of the large subunit of the eukaryotic ribosome. It is transcribed by RNA polymerase I as part of the 45S precursor that also contains 18S and 28S rRNA. The record is from RNAcentral. Lineage: Eukaryota; Metazoa; Nematoda; Chromadorea; Rhabditida; Oxyuridae.
UGUACAACUGUUAGCGGUGGAUCACUUGGCUCGUAGGUCGAUGAAGAACGCAGUUAGCUGCGUUAACUAGUGCGAAUUGCGGACACAUUGAGCACUAAAAUUUCUAACGCACAUUGUGCCAUUGGGUCCUUUCCCUUUGGCACGUCUGGCUGAGGGUCG